Molecule: ribosomal RNA, 468 nt
Filed under: uncultured bacterium
Lineage: Bacteria
Description: partial 16S ribosomal RNA
Rfam family: Bacterial small subunit ribosomal RNA
Source: RNAcentral
GACGAACGCUGGCGGCGUGCUUAACACAUGCAAGUCGAACGGAAAGGCCCUGCUUUUGUGGGGUGCUCGAGUGGCGAACGGGUGAGUAACACGUGAGUAACCUGCCCUUGACUUUGGGAUAACUUCAGGAAACUGGGGCUAAUACCGGAUAGGAGCUCCUGCUGCAUGGUGGGGGUUGGAAAGUUUCGGCGGGUGGGGAUGGACUCGCGGCUUAUCAGCUUGGUGGUGGGGUAGUGGCUUACCAAGGCUUUGACGGGUAGCCGGCCUGAGAGGGUGACCGGCCACAUUGGGACUGAGAUACGGCCCAGACUCCUACGGGAGGCAGCAGUGGGGAAUAUUGCACAAUGGGCGGAAGCCUGAUGCAGCAACGCCGCGUGCGGGAUGACGGCCUUCGGGUUGUAAACCGCUUUCGCCUGUGACGAAGCGUGAGUGACGGUAAUGGGUAAAGAAGCACCGGCUAACUACGUG